GAUGAACGCUGGCGGCGUGCCUAAUACAUGCAAGUCGAGCGAACAGACGAGGAGCUUGCUCCUCUGACGUUAGCGGCGGACGGGUGAGUAACACGUGGAUAACCUACCUAUAAGACUGGGAUAACUUCGGGAAACCGGCGCUAAUACCGGAUAAUAUAUUGAACCGCAUGGUUCAAUAGUGAAAGACGGUUUUGCUGUCACUUAUAGAUGGAUCCGCGCCGCAUUAGCUAGUUGGUAAGGUAACGGCUUACCAAGGCAACGAUGCGUAGCCGACCUGAGAGGGUGAUCGGCCACACGAGAACUGAGACGCGGUCCAGACUCCUAAGGGAGGCAGCAGUAGGGAAUCUUCCGCAAUGGGCGAAAGCCUGACGGAGCAACGCCGCGUGAGUGAUGAAGGUCUUCGGAUCGUAAAACUCUGUUAUUAGGGAAGAACAAAUGUGUAAGUAACUAUGCACGUCUUGACGGUACCUAAUCAGAAAGCAACGGCUAACUACGUG
RNAcentral lists this ribosomal RNA (497 nucleotides) under uncultured bacterium. RNAcentral describes it as "partial 16S ribosomal RNA". It matches the Rfam family "Bacterial small subunit ribosomal RNA", at positions 28 to 507 of the family's 1533-position model. The record is from RNAcentral.